CCACUCUUAAGUGAAUCCUGAAGAUUACUAGCAAGUUUCUCUUUUUCUCUUUCAAGUUCAUCAACCUUUUUUAGUAGGGCUUUAUUGACCUUUUUGAUUUUAAGACUCUCUUUAAACAAAAGUUGAUAAGCUUCUUGUAUGUCUAUGUCAUCCUCAUCCUCAUUACUAGAAUUAUCGUUAGGAAGUUCUUCCUCAACCUUGUCACUUUCUUUGUCAGAUUCACUCUUAACAGUCGAUACAAAUGCCAUAUAGUUUCCUUCGUCCUCACUACUAGAAGAUUCCUGCCUAUCACUGGUCUCAGAUUCAUUAUCUGUAAGUGAGACAACUAAGGCCUUACCUUUCCCUUUUCUUUGGUUCUUCUUAUAACUAGGGCAUUCAUUCCUAUAGUGACCUAUUCCUUGACACUCAUGGCACCUAACCAAACGAGGCUUAUCACUAGACCCUUUAUUGGUAAACUUUUCAAUUUUUUCUUUUGAAAAACUAUUAGGGGCUCCACUUUUUCUAUCCUGAGACUUUCUCCUAUUCUUGAGAACUUGUUGGAAUCUCUUAACAAAGCAAGCAAUUUCAUCGUCCCUAAGCGACUUAGUAUCAGAAGAUUCAUCCUCUUUGAUGGAUUUUAAGGCUAUGGACUUUCCUUUCUUAGGUUGUGUGACAGUGAGUUCAUAAGUUUGCAGGGAUCCUACCAGUUCUUCAAUUUUAACUUAAUCUAGGUCCUUACUUUCCUCAAUGGCAGUAAAUUUAGGCCUAAAUCUCUCGGGCAGGGACCUAAGCACUUUUCUCACAAUUUUAGACUCGGGAAUUCUCUCACCUAGAUUGAAGCUAGAAUUAACAAUGUCAUUCAAUUUAGCAUAGAAUUCGUCAAACGUUUCAUCAUCCUUCAUUCUCACUUCUUCAAACCUAGAUGCUAGCAUUUGUAACUUAGAAUUCUUUACCGUUUUAGUUCUCUCAUGUGUAGUUUCAAGAAUGUCCCAAACCUCUUUAGCAGUUUCACACAUUGACACUCUUCUAAACUCUUCGGGAGACACGGCCAUAAACAGGGCAUGAAGACCUUUGCUAUUCCAAUUACACUCAACUAUUUCAUCCUUAGUCCACAAUGAUAUAUCAGUUAGAUUAAUAGUUCCAGAAACGGUAGUGGAGGGAGGUUUCCAACUAUUUUGCACACUUACCCAAACAUGCUCAUCUAAAGACUUAAGAAAAGCACGCAUUCUAACCUUCCAAUAAGCAUAAUUACUUCCAUCGAAAAACGGAGGUACAGACAGUGAUUGACUCAUCUAGACAACUAUGGGUCAGGACUCGAGAUUUGGCUCUGAUACCACUUGAAAAAGCUAUAGUUCGACCCAACCAACACCUAGAGGGGGGUGAAUAGGUGUUUAUGCGGAAUUAAGGCAAUUAAUUAACUUAUGCAACAAGUCACAUAAAUUAUGCAUUGUCCAUAUUCAUUCACAUACUUUAUCUACCUAAGUUGAAUUAUCAGUUGAAAAGUAAAUAACAAAAACCAGUAAAAACGCCACAAAAUGUUGACGGAGAAAACCCAACUAGGUAAAAACUCCGGGCACAAGCCAGUAGAGAUCCACUAUAGAAGAUAUUGACUUACAGUACACCAGACAUUAUUGAUUCUAACAAUACUCUGACCUUCUUACUGUAUCGACCACAGCUAUCCUCGAUUUUGCAGAUCUGCGCCAAAAUCCCAGCCUUGAAUAUCUUCUACCUCCCGUGAAUCACCAAACACACGAGCUCUUCAAGCAAUUCCCUUCCCGGAUCUUCAAACUGACGAUCUUCUGGAAGUUGAUAUGGAGAUAUGAAAGGAUGUUUUGGUUUUGAGAGGGUUGAUGUUUUUAUUCAAAGAACCAUGAGAAUUAAAAGAUGAAAGAAUGAAUAUUAGGUUCUUAAUCCUUUGGAAGUUGAGAGGAAUUCCUGUUUGAAUGUUUGCCAAAGGUCUUUAACGAAAAUCGGACGUUUUGUUUAUAUAGUAGGUUGAAUUUGGUAAUAUGGAGCGUUAAAAAUUUGCGAGGCAUUAAAAUUACCAAAGGCCAGAUAACACCGUCGCUCGAGCGAGGUGCUGGCCUCGAGCGACGCACCUUCGAUCAAGCGACAGCUCAGCGAAACUCUAGCGACGUCUGUUCUGCAAUUUAGGCUCGAGCGAGGUCAGGGCGAAACUCUAGCGAAAUCAACGCGCCGUUUGCAUCUUCAAAGCAUCCCACUUUACCCUAGACCUAUGCUAUGAACUUUGCUAAAUUGCAACUUUAGUCCCUGAACUAUUAGACCUUUACGAUUUGGUCCUUGACUUUAUAAUUUUGACAAAUAGGUCCUUUGGUCACAGAUUGCCAAUUACACAUUUUCCUAACAGGUAUGAUUACUAUAAUUAGUUGUUUAAAUAUAAUGUUAUUCAUUUGUGUUUUAUCAAUUGGAAAUUAGGUGAGCCAAUCAACAGGAAUUCAUAAUCUCCUCCCAGAAAAACAAUUCAUAGUAACUAAAAAGGGUAAGUCGAUUUGUACUAUCCCCUACAUAUUCUUGCAAGAAUAUUACAUGGAUGACUAUAGCUUCAGAAAUACAUACUAUUGAGAUUAAUAUAGCGUUUUUUAUAUUAUUUAAUUUUAUAACAAUUUAGUUCAUAAACUUUUUCACACAUGUCAGUGACAUUACUUAUAUAUUCUCAUGCUUAAACAAUACCUAAGUAGAUAAUAUCCCACUACUAAAAAAAAAAAAAAAGCCUUUCACCUACGAAAAAUUACCAACGGAUGAAUUAGAAACGGAUUAUCCGUUAGUAAAAGUUAUUCACUUUCAGCUACAAUAAUCAGUAACGGAUUUUCCGUUGGUAACGAUGAUAUCUCUUUACCAACGGAUAUUCCUCGCCUCAUGUAAUAGUUUAACAUUUGGAUCUUUCACUACGGAAUAUCCGUAGGUGACGUACUAAAUAUUACCAACGGAUUCCAUCCGUUAGUAAUUAGAAACGAAUUAUUCAUUGGUAAAAGUAAUUUACUUUCAACUAUGAUAAUCAGCAACGAAUUUUUUAUUGGUAACUAUGUUAUUUUUUUACCAACGGAUAUUCUGUUAUUCAUGUAAUCGUUUAAUAUUAGAUUUUUUACAUACGGAUAUUCCGUUGGUAAUUAGAAACGGAUUAUCCGUUGGUAAAAAUAAUUUACUUAUCCCACAUCGAAAGUUCACAACAAAGUUUUCGGAGUUGCCCUCUAUAAAUUGAUUAUGUGAUCCAAUAAGUGGUUAAACAACAUUUUGGCCUUUCAAUUCGGUUGGUUAAAAGUUAAAAAAAUUAGAAUUAUUAAAUAAAUAAUAAAAACAAUAAUAAAAAAUAAAUAAUAUUUUUUUUUACUAUGUCUUACACCUAUGCGGCUAUUUACAAUAUUGAUUUUUAUCAAUUGUAAUGAUAGGAAUUUACCAAUGGAAAGUCGGUUGGUAUUGGUUAUAAUUUUUACCAACAAAAAUCUCGUUGGUAAAAGAUUCACACUUUACCAACGGAAAAUUCGUUGAUAAUAUGUUUACUCUUUACCUAUGGUAGGAUCCGUUGGUAACUAUCAGCGACCCUCAAAUUAGCAACGAAUUUGUGGUUGCAAAUAUUCCAUUGGUAAAGAGUAAUAGCAACGGAUAUCGAAGUUUUUGGAACAAAAAAUUCGUGCCUGAAUCCAUAUUUUUUAAUAGUGUCCUACGAGUUUUAGUUACACUUUAGCGUACAAUUUUAUUCACUUCAUUCCACUCUCCAGCCCUGUACGAUAUACAGGAGUAUAAGAAAUCAUGAAUUUCAUCUACAAAUCAUUUUUCUUACCUACCGAACCUUUGUGUCAUUAAUAAUUACAAUUUCAGACAUGCUCAUCUGUCAUAUUCAGAGUUUACAUGUACGUUGAAUAGAAAACAUGAGCAUUUUUUAUUUUAGUCUGCCUUAUUCUUGGUCGUCUCAAUCUUCUAAUUUCCUUUCCUUUAGAUUGUGUGAAAUUCUGGAAAGGUAAUAAAUUCUUCCAAAUUAAUCUUCUAUAGUUUUGACCUAUUUGAGAAUAGAUCGCACUUCUCUCAAUCUUGUUCCAGUUUUAGCCAUCAAAGUUACGUGCAAUUCAUUUAUGAUGUGAUAUGCAUGUGAACUUGAUAAUUUCAGCACUUUUUACCAGCAUAAUUUUUUUUAAUGUCGUUUAUUUUCUGAUUUCUUAGGUAUAUAUGAUUCAACAAACUACCUUCUCAUUCAGUUCUUAUAAUUUGUUACAUUUUGUGAUUUUUGCACACACUAAUUUGGUUUUAGCUUUUUAGAAUUCCUUUCUUUAUGCAACACUUCAUUUUCCUUUUUCUGUGAUUCUUUCUCUUCACUAAUCAAAUUUUCUUUACUCUAAACGAUUUUAUCAAAUACCUCCCAUUGCUUUUACCAUUCCCAAACUCUUGCUGUUUGGGUUUUUAAUCUAUGAUAGUCUGAAGUUCUUCCAAAACGGAUAUUACGUAUUUUCUCAUAUUUUACACCAGUUCCUUAUGAUGUCUUAUAGCUAAUAGUCUUAACCUUAGGAGUCGUCCACCAAGCUAAUUCAGAGAAAAAGCCAACGAUAUUCUUCCUGGGUUCAGUGGAUCUAGAAAAAUAUUAGCAGCAGAGAGUAGGAUAGCCUUUCUGUUUAUUUUUCUUCCUCUCUUGCUACUAUGUAUAAGAUAUUUACUUAUAACAUGAAAAGUAGCCCUAUGACAUGCAUAAAGGUAAACACAUUAUGGGUGUUUCGUUUAUUGUUGUUAUUUGCAAAUAGCUUACUAGAAAGUGAGAACGAGAAAUAUUAUCGAAUGGCAAAAUUAACUUGCAAGUGUUCUUUAGCAUCUUAGCGUAGGAUUUGAAAAGUAUUAUGAGUUUUGCUACAAUCCUAAUUUUUAUGGAGCAAUUAAUUCUGGAGGUGCAUAAGUUGAUGCUAUAGCAUACAUAUCUAUUUGUAAACAGGUUUGACUCUAUAGCUUUUGCUUUAAACAUUUGAAUUAGUCAGAGUUAUAACUCGCUGUAAUUUUACCUAGAUGUAUUGCUUGUUAUCUAUCUUUCCACAUAUUUGCUUUUUCAUUCUUACCCUCGUGUAGACUCUCUAGAUGCUUGAGAAUGAACAGUACUUCAGAAGAAGGCUCAUGCUGAGGUGGAGAAGGCCAAGAAUUUUCAUUAAGAUUGAUUUAAUGUUAACAUGUACUUAAACUAAAUGCGUAAAGGAUUCAAUAGUUCGAGACGUGAAGAGGGGAGUAAAGGACCUACAGAAACUUUUUCUAAUCCUAACUUGAUUGAGUGAAUUUAAAUCUUUAACUUGUGACCAAUCUUCGAGAACUUGAUGGCAGAUGCUCAUUGAAGGUUGCAUAGUAUGUGAAUGAUUUGCACCAAAAAACAUGCUUCCGCAAACUGCUUUUUGAUGUGUGAUUGAGGAUUUUGGCCUAAAUAAAUUGAAAGAGCAGAGGAUAGAAUUUCAUCCUCCUAAAGUAUCAAUUGUUGAAAAGUUGAUGCUCUUUAAAAGAUAUUUUUCCUUUUUCUUUCAUUUUCCUUCCCGUUUUAUUGUUUUCCCGGGUUUUUUGGUAGGCUGUUUUUUCAUCGAGAGGAGUCUCUCCCCAGAAAGCUAUGUUACAGAAUGUUAUUACAUCAGUGCCACAGUUAAUUGAUUAGUUUUCCUUUGAUGUAUUUGGGAAUGCUAAAUACCUAGCAAAUUGUAUAAUAGUGAGAUAAAAUGUGCUAACAAUUAUAAUUUUGAACAAUAAAUUUGGGGAUCCUUUUAAAUUUGGUUUCCAAGGGCAGUAUGAAAUUCAAGCUUGGUAUGCCCUGUUAAAUUUUACCUUCUAUACUGUUUAAUGGAGUAUUACUCUUUGUUUAUUCUUGAUUUCUAAAUUUUGUUUACUUCAUUUUUAGUGUAUAUUCAGAUGUCCUUAUGAAUUCUAAAAAUAAUUUUUCAUAGAACGAACUUCUCUAUAUGCUACUGUGAUUUCUGAGCAUUAUAAGGUGUUUUUAUCACAUGCCAAAAGAACCAGAAAUGUGGGAGUCUAUCUGCUGUUGUCAUUGGCAAUAAAAUGUUUAUUACUGUAAAAUGGGCUCAUUCAUUUGCUUGCUUCCUUGCUUGCUCUGGAAUGAGAGAACUUGGUAAAUGAUAAAUCUCUCUCUGUAUGCUCAAUAAAAGAAAGUGAUCCUCAAUCUGUCCUCAUAUUUCAAUAAAGAAUAAGCUUAACUGACUUUCAAGUUUAAUCCUUCCAGGGCAUCUGGUGGAGCAACGAGCAUUCCUUGAGGACAAAUAUAAACGUUAUAUUUCUUGUGACAUUUAGAUUAAUACUAUAACAAACAUCAAUUUCUUUACAAAUAUAUAUUGUCUCUAUGAUUUGAAUUUCUCAAAUGAUGUAAAUUGAUUUUUGACGUUUUAUUGAAUGCUAAAUACAAACAAGCCC
Molecule: long non-coding RNA, 6375 nt
Filed under: Olea europaea subsp. europaea
Lineage: Eukaryota; Viridiplantae; Streptophyta; Magnoliopsida; Lamiales; Oleaceae
Source: RNAcentral